RNAcentral lists this ribosomal RNA (520 nucleotides) under uncultured Archaeospora. RNAcentral's name for it is "SSU rRNA". It matches the Rfam family "Eukaryotic small subunit ribosomal RNA", at positions 569 to 1094 of the family's 1831-position model. The record is from RNAcentral. Lineage: Eukaryota; Fungi; Glomeromycota; Glomeromycetes; Archaeosporales; Archaeosporaceae.
CGCAGCCGCGGUAAUUCCAGCUCCAAUAGCGUAUAUUAAAGUUGUUGCAGUUAAAAAGCUCGUAGUUGAAUUUUGGGCUUGGCCGAUUGGUCCGUUCUUGUAGCGAGUACUGGUCGGUUGGGCCUCACCGCUUGGUGAUGCGUAAUGUCCUUUAUUGGGUGUUGCGAGUAGCCAAGACCUUUACCUUGAAAAAAUUAGAGUGUUUAAAGCAGGCAUAUGCCAGAAUACAUUAGCAUGGAAUAAUAGAAUAGGACAACGAUUCUAUUUUGUUGGUUUCUAGGACCGUUGUAAUGAUUAAUAGGGAUAGUUGGGGGCAUUAGUAUUCAAUUGUCAGAGGUGAAAUUCUUGGAUUUAUUGAAGACUAACUACUGCGAAAGCAUUUGCCAAGGAUGUUUUCAUUAAUCAAGAACGAAAGUUAGGGAUCGAAGACGAUCAGAUACCGUCGUAGUCUUAACCAUAAACUAUGCCGACUAGGGAUCGGGCGAAGUUAUUUCAAUGACUCGCUUCGGCACCUUANGGG